RNAcentral lists this transfer RNA (73 nucleotides) under Perkinsus olseni. Its description in RNAcentral is "tRNA-Lys". It matches the Rfam family "tRNA". Rfam says of the family: Transfer RNA (tRNA) molecules are approximately 80 nucleotides in length. Their secondary structure includes four short double-helical elements and three loops (D, anti-codon, and T loops). The record is from RNAcentral. Lineage: Eukaryota; Perkinsozoa; Perkinsida; Perkinsidae.
GCCCGUCUAGCUCAGUGGGCAGAGCGCAAGGCUCUUAACCUUGUGGUCGUGGGUUCGAGCUGCACGGUGGGUG